Transfer RNA from Ordospora colligata OC4, 72 nucleotides. It matches the Rfam family "tRNA". Rfam says of the family: Transfer RNA (tRNA) molecules are approximately 80 nucleotides in length. Their secondary structure includes four short double-helical elements and three loops (D, anti-codon, and T loops). The record is from Rfam. Lineage: Eukaryota; Fungi; Microsporidia; Ordosporidae.
UCCUUGUUGGUCCAGUGGUUAGGAUAGCUGCCUCUCACGCAGCAGGCUCGGGUUCGAUUCCCGGACAGGGAA